UCCCUCUCUUCCUUUCCAUGUCCAAAAGUUGGGUGCCUCUCUUCCAUACGCCCAAAAGCAGUGUUGGUGACUUGAAAAUUAUAGAUCGAAGAGAAAAAGAAGAAGACUGCAGAUCAAAGAGUUGAUCUUGCAGUUAAGAUCAAAGGAGUUGAUCAAAAUUCAAAGGCUGAGAUUCUUCUUGGGAAGAAGAAUCUUCUACGAGGAGAAAGAAGUUCGAGAUCGAUCCCGAUGGAUAUCUGUAGAGGUUGGAC
RNAcentral lists this long non-coding RNA (251 nucleotides) under Elaeis guineensis (African oil palm). Its description in RNAcentral is "long non-coding RNA (EGUI_LNC074015)". Lineage: Eukaryota; Viridiplantae; Streptophyta; Magnoliopsida; Arecales; Arecaceae. The record is from RNAcentral.